UUCGAUCCUGGCUCAGAUUGAACGCUGGCGGAUGUUUACAUGCAAGUCGAACGGCAGCACGGACUUCGGUCCUGGUGGCAGUGGCGAACGGGUGAGUAAUGUAUCGGAACGUGCCUAGUAGCGGGGGAUAACUACGCGAAAGCGUAAGCUAAUACCGCAUACGCCCUUCGGGGAAAGCGGGGACCUUCGGGCCUCGCGCUAUUAGAGCGGCCGAUAUCGGAUUAGCUAGUUGGUGGAGUAACGGCUCCGCCAGGCGACGAUCCGUAACUGGUUUGAGAGGACGACCCAUCACACUGGGACUGAGACACGGCCCAGACUCCUGGAGGCAGCAGUGGGGGAAUUUUUUGGACAAUGGGAAACCUGAUCCAGCCAUCCGCCGACGCUGAUGAAGGCCUUCGGGUUAUGUAAGCACUUUGGCAGGAAAAACAGCACGGGAUAAUACCCCCGUGCAACUGACCAGUACCUGCAGAAUAAGCACCGGCUAACUACGUGCCAGCAGCCGCGGUAAUACAUGCAGUGCAAGCGUUAAUCGGAAUUACUGGGCGUAAAGCGUGCGCAGGCGGUUCGGAAGAAAGAUGUGAAAAUCCCAGGCUGCUGGAACUGCAUUUUAACUACCGAGCUGAUAUGUGUCUGGAGGAGGUGGAGUCCGCGUGUAGCAAUGAAGUAUGCGUAGAUAUGCGGAGGAACAUGAUGGCGAAGGCAGCCUCCUGGGAUAACACUGACGCCACUGUGCACGAUAAAACUGGGAGCAAACCUGGGGAUUAGAUACCUGGUAGUCCGCGCCUAAACGAUGUCAACUAGCUGUUGGGGCCGGACGCCCGGUAGCGCAGCUAACGCGACUGCUGUUGACCGCCUGGGAAGUACGGUCGCAAGAUUAAAACUCAAAGGAAUUGAGCGGACCCGCACAAGCGGUGCUGGAUGAUGUGGAUUAAUUCGAUGCAACGCGAAAAACCUUACCCCGCCAACAUCUCUCUGGAAUCCCCGAAGAAGUUUGGGAGUGCUCGCAAGAACCCGCCGAACAGGUGCUGCAUGGCUGUCGUCAGCUCAUGUCGUGAGAUGUUGGAUUCAGUCCGCAACGAGCGCAACCCUUGUCAUUAGUUGCUACGAAAGGGCACUCUAAUGAGACUGCCGGUGACAAACCGGAGGAAGGUGAGACCGACAUCAAAGUCCUCAUGUGCCCUUAUGGGUAGGGCUUCACACGUCAUACAAUGGUCGGGACAGAGGUUGCCAACCGCGAGGCGUCCCGAACUGACGUAGUCAGUCGCAGUCACAGCUCGGCUGCGUGAAGUCGGAUCUAUUGACCGUCGCAGUCAGCAUGCGUUGAUACGAUUUGGAUCUUAACACACCACCGUCCUUUCGCGGGUGUUUUACCCAGAAAUCGUUAGCCUAACCGUGAAGGGUACCGAUGAGAUUCAUGACUGGACAGAUGGCGAAAGUAUCUGUACUUCCUGAUGCUUAGA
Molecule: ribosomal RNA, 1460 nt
Filed under: uncultured Bordetella sp.
Lineage: Bacteria; Pseudomonadati; Pseudomonadota; Betaproteobacteria; Burkholderiales; Alcaligenaceae
Description: partial 16S-23S ribosomal RNA intergenic spacer
Rfam family: Bacterial small subunit ribosomal RNA
Source: RNAcentral